UAUCUUCAGGGCAGGGUGAAAUACCCGACCGGCGGUAAAGUCCGCGAGCCGUAAGGCAUGAACCGGUGUGAUUCCGGUACCGACAGUAUAGUCUGGAUGAAAGAAGAUG
This 109-nucleotide non-coding RNA is filed under the name human gut metagenome. Its description in RNAcentral is "FMN riboswitch (RFN element)". It matches the Rfam family "FMN riboswitch aptamer (RFN element)". Rfam says of the family: The RFN element is a highly conserved domain that is found frequently in the 5'-untranslated regions of prokaryotic mRNAs that encode for flavin mononucleotide (FMN) biosynthesis and transport proteins. This element is a metabolite-dependent riboswitch that directly binds FMN in the absence of proteins. In Bacillus subtilis, the riboswitch most likely controls gene expression by causing premature transcription termination within the 5' untranslated region of the ribDEAHT operon and precluding access to the ribosome-binding site of ypaA mRNA. The record is from RNAcentral.